RNAcentral lists this long non-coding RNA (225 nucleotides) under Panax ginseng (ginseng). RNAcentral's name for it is "long non-coding RNA (PGIN_LNC002683)". Lineage: Eukaryota; Viridiplantae; Streptophyta; Magnoliopsida; Apiales; Araliaceae. The record is from RNAcentral.
UCGAACCCUUCUCAUGCCUUAAGAAUUUUAUUUACUAAAUUCUUAUUUUAAUAAUUUCUAAAAAUUUGGGUUCUUACAUCCUCUCCCCCUUAGAAGGAUUCAGUCCUCGGAAUCAUCGAAACCUCCUCUACUUGGUGCUAUUCCGAAUAAUACAUAUUCUUUUUGAAUAAUUUUAUCCAUUCUCUUUUCGGAAGUUUUAUUAUAACUUGCUCACUUGCAUUCUAC